AUGAGGCGAACCGGGGGAACUGAAACAUCUAAGUACCCCGAGGAAAAGAAAUCAACCGAGAUUCCCCCAGUAGCGGCGAGCGAACGGGGAGGAGCCCAGAGCCUGAAUCAGUGUGUGUGUUAGUGGAAGCGUCUGGAAAGGCGCGCGAUACAGGGUGACAGCCCCGUACACAAAAAUGCACAUGCUGUGAGCUCGAUGAGUAGGGCGGGACACGUGGUAUCCUGUCUGAAUAUGGGGGGACCAUCCUCCAAGGCUAAAUACUCCUGACUGACCGAUAGUGAACCAGUACCGUGAGGGAAAGGCGAAAAGAACCCCGGCGAGGGGAGUGAAAAAGAACCUGAAACCGUGUACGUACAAGCAGUGGGAGCACAGAGCAAUCUGUGUGACUGCGUACCUUUUGUAUAAUGGGUCAGCGACUUAUAUUCUGUAGCAAGGUUAACCGAAUAGGGGAGCCGAAGGGAAACCGAGUCUUAACUGGGCGUUAAGUUGCAGGGUAUAGACCCGAAACCCGGUGAUCUAGCCAUGGGCAGGUUGAAGGUUGGGUAACACUAACUGGAGGACCGAACCGACUAAUGUUGAAAAAUUAGCGGAUGACUUGUGGCUGGGGGUGAAAGGCCAAUCAAACCGGGAGAUAGCUGGUUCUCCCCGAAAGCUAUUUAGGUAGCGCCUCGUGAAUUCAUCUCCGGGGGUAGAGCACUGUUUCGGCAAGGGGGUCAUCCCGACUUACCAACCCGAUGCAAACUGCGAAUACCGGAGAAUGUUAUCACGGGAGACACACGGCGGGUGCUAACGUCCGUCGUGAAGAGGGAAACAACCCAGACCGCCAGCUAAGGUCCCAAAGUCAUGGUUAAGUGGGAAACGAUGUGGGAAGGCCCAGACAGCCAGGAUGUUGGCUUAGAAGCAGCCAUCAUUUAAAGAAAGCGUAAUAGCUCACUGGUCGAGUCGGCCUGCGCGGAAGAUGUAACGGGGCUAAACCAUGCACCGAAGCUGCGGCAGCGACGCUGAUGCGUUGUUGGGUAGGGGAGCGUUCUGUAAGCCUGUGAAGGUGUGCUGUGAGGCAUGCUGGAGGUAUCAGAAGUGCGAAUGCUGACAUAAGUAACGAUAAAGCGGGUGAAAAGCCCGCUCGCCGGAAGACCAAGGGUUCCUGUCCAACGUUAAUCGGGGCAGGGUGAGUCGACCCCUAAGGCGAGGCCGAAAGGCGUAGUCGAUGGGAAACAGGUUAAUAUUCCUGUACUUGGUGUUACUGCGAAGGGGGGACGGAGAAGGCUAUGUUGGCCGGGCGACGGUUGUCCCGGUUUAAGCGUGUAGGCUGGUUUUCCAGGCAAAUCCGGAAAACUAAGGCUGAGGCGUGAUGACGAGGCACUACGGUGCUGAAGCAACAAAUGCCCUGCUUCCAGGAAAAGCCUCUAAGCAUCAGGUAACAUCAAAUCGUACCCCAAACCGACACAGGUGGUCAGGUAGAGAAUACCAAGGCGCUUGAGAGAACUCGGGUGAAGGAACUAGGCAAAAUGGUGCCGUAACUUCGGGAGAAGGCACGCUGAUAUGUAGGUGAAGUCCCUCGCGGAUGGAGCUGAAAUCAGUCGAAGAUACCAGCUGGCUGCAACUGUUUAUUAAAAACACAGCACUGUGCAAACACGAAAGUGGACGUAUACGGUGUGACGCCUGCCCGGUGCCGGAAGGUUAAUUGAUGGGGUCAGCGCAAGCGAAGCUCUUGAUCGAAGCCCCGGUAAACGGCGGCCGUAACUAUAACGGUCCUAAGGUAGCGAAAUUCCUUGUCGGGUAAGUUCCGACCUGCACGAAUGGCGUAAUGAUGGCCAGGCUGUCUCCACCCGAGACUCAGUGAAAUUGAACUCGCUGUGAAGAUGCAGUGUACCCGCGGCAAGACGGAAAGACCCCGUGAACCUUUACUAUAGCUUGACACUGAACAUUGAGCCUUGAUGUGUAGGAUAGGUGGGAGGCUUUGAAGUGUGGACGCCAGUCUGCAUGGAGCCGACCUUGAAAUACCACCCUUUAAUGUUUGAUGUUCUAACGUUGACCCGUAAUCCGGGUUGCGGACAGUGUCUGGUGGGUAGUUUGACUGGGGCGGUCUCCUCCUAAAGAGUAACGGAGGAGCACGAAGGUUGGCUAAUCCUGGUCGGACAUCAGGAGGUUAGUGCAAUGGCAUAAGCCAGCUUGACUGCGAGCGUGACGGCGCGAGCAGGUGCGAAAGCAGGUCAUAGUGAUCCGGUGGUUCUGAAUGGAAGGGCCAUCGCUCAACGGAUAAAAGGUACUCCGGGGAUAACAGGCUGAUACCGCCCAAGAGUUCAUAUCGACGGCGGUGUUUGGCACCUCGAUGUCGGCUCAUCACAUCCUGGGGCUGAAGUAGGUCCCAAGGGUAUGGCUGUUCGCCAUUUAAAGUGGUACGCGAGCUGGGUUUAGAACGUCGUGAGACAGUUCGGUCCCUAUCUGCCGUGGGCGCUGGAGAACUGAGGGGGGCUGCUCCUAGUACGAGAGGACCGGAGUGGACGCAUCACUGGUGUUCGGGUUGUCAUGCCAAUGGCACUGCCCGGUAGCUAAAUGCGGAAGAGAUAAGUGCUGAAAGCAUCUAAGCACGAAACUUGCCCCGAGAUGAGUUCUCCCUGACUCCUUGAGAGUCCUGAAGGAACGUUGAAG
Molecule: ribosomal RNA, 2652 nt
Filed under: Escherichia coli
Lineage: Bacteria; Pseudomonadati; Pseudomonadota; Gammaproteobacteria; Enterobacterales; Enterobacteriaceae
Description: partial 23S ribosomal RNA
Rfam family: Bacterial large subunit ribosomal RNA
Source: RNAcentral